GACUGGGUAUACAAGUGGGAUUUUCUCAUCGAGGGAGAGGGAUUUGACAGCAUGAGAUUCGAAUUCGGAGAAAGUGUUGACUAGGAUAGCUUUAGCUUCUCGAAGCCUUUUAGAAAGAUCAAGGUACAUUGUGGAACCACCAUCCUUGUCAAAGGCUAUAGAUGGCAAACAUUUAGCUGGAAAUGGGUUUCCAUACGUUGUCACCGAAAGCUCUGCUUCUGGAUCAUCCUUGUAUUCUGUCACGUCUUGGUUAAAAUCAUCCCUGAGAGUCUGCAAAUGAAGCUGAAGACCAAGCAUGGCAGCACCAGACGUGUAGAAAACAUAAGUCGGGAGGCCAAAUUCAUUGGCCACGUCUAUCAUUGCUGUACACAUCAUGUCAAUAACAAGGCCCGCAAGACGAUUUGAUCCUGAAUUCAAGAUUUCAAUCACAGAAUUUCUGACUUGAGGCUUUUGACUGGAUAAAAAUGUGAUGAAAGUUGUGUUUGUGAUUGACUGUAAGAUGGACUCAUAUUGAGGGAGUUCAAUGAACUUCAUUUGAGAGUUGUAGUUUGGAUUUGUCGAGACUGAUUCAAUAUAGGAGCUGAGCAUGUUGUCAGAAGGCAGCUUGAUUACGAGGACUGUAAUGACGAGAUGUUCAUCUCUAGCUAUUAGAACCUUUGCCAUCUCAAGUGUGGGUACUAGGUGGCCCAUACCAGGAACAGGAAUGAAAACCAACUCUGUUUUCUUGUUUACUGACUCCAUGUUUUGUUGCUUGAAUGAAAUUUGUUAUGGCUCAUAACUGGAAGCUUGAUUUGUACUCAUUUUAUAAGAUGCUGAUUUAAAAAACAUGUUAGUGUUAGGUGAGUGAAGACCAAUAGACUUGGGGAGCAAGAGUUAAUGGUAAAUGAUGUCAUGCCUUGGCUGCCAAGUGCCAACUUACAAUUAAUUACAAUAGACUAGUAGGGUGGCUUUUGGGUGAAGCCUUUAGCCCCUCAUUUUCUUGGGGUCCCACAUUCCAUCAAUAAGUUACAUAGUAUAUAGUAAUUAGUUUUCAAUUUGUUUUCUCUGUUGAAGUUAAAAAAAAGUAAAAAGAUUUUCUCAAGUGUUUGUCUUUUGUCAUAUUUCACAUUGCAUUUGCUCCUCCAAAUAUCCCAAGAAGCCAACAAAGGGAUGCCAUGAGAGCAUGGACUGGAUUAAAAGUUUUCCAGGUCCACCAUGGUGAUUAUGUGAAAUAUAUGCAAGGCAGGGGGUGGCUCUUCUUACGCCUUUCUUGGACGAUUCAAUUAGGGAUAUCAUGGAUAAUCUUCACUAACUAGCUCGUAUAUGCCUACACACACCCUGUCAUAGCAAAGCCAUCUUUUUCUUCAAAGCCUAUAACAUCACACACUUAAGGUGAAGGAAAUAAAAAGCAGCAAUGAGUGAAAUCAAGAACGUAGAGUUGGUCAUCAUACCAUCUCCUGGAAUGGGUCAUCUGGUACCCGCAGUGGAGAUGGCAAAACUCCUUAUAGCUAGAGAGGAACACCUCUCCAUCACUGUCCUGGUCAUGAACAUGAACCUCAAACCUUACCUCCGAUCACUUUCCUCAAAUGCUAAUUGCAGCUCAACAAGAUUGAAAUUCAUAAAUCUCCCUCGUGACGAAUCCGCUUUGCUACUCCUCAACAACAAUACCUUCUUUUCUGGGUUUAUUGAAAGGCAUAAACCUCAGGUCAGACAUGUUGUGGCUCAAAUUCUGCAAUCAAAAACAGCCACACUUUCCAGUUUUGUGGUAGACAUGAUGUGUACCAUAAUGAUAGAUGUGGCCAAUGAAUUUGGUGUUCCAACUUAUGUUUUCUACACGACUAGUGCAGCCAUGCUUGGCCUUCACUUUCAUAUGCAGAGCCUAAGAGAUGAUUUGUUACUGAUUGUAACGAUGACCCUGAAUCAGAACUCUAUGUACCUUCGUAUUUAAAUCCAUUCCCAGCGAAAUGUUUGCCGUUGAUGUUCUUGGACAAGGAAGGUGGUUCCACUAUGUUCCUUGAUAUUUCCAAAGGGUAUCAAGAAACCAGAGGAAUCUUGGUGAACACAUUCCAGUAAUUGGAAGCUCAUGUUAUGAUAUCUCUCUGUCUGGACGAGAAAACCCUACCCGUUUAUCCAAUAGGACCAUUACUGAACCUUCACAGUGGCGUCAGUGAUAAGGAAGAGUCGUCUCACGACGAAAUUAUCAAAUGGUUAGAUGGGAAAAAUUCAUCCUCUGUAGUGUUCCUCUGUUUUGGAAGCUCGGGAAGUUUCAACAAGGAGCAAGUGAAUGAAAUUGCGCAGGCUCUAAAGGACAGCGGGUGUUGGUUCUUGUGGUCUCCAAGGAAACAGCCACCAAAAGACUCAUGGUAUCCAAGUGAGUACAAGAAGCUGGAAGAUGCAUAGCCGGAGGGGUUCUUGCAAAAGACAAAAGGGAAUGGAAUGGUGAUAGGAUGGGCACCCCAAGGAGUAAUUUUGUCUCAUCGUGCAGUGGGUGGAUUUGUGUCACACUGUGGUUGGAAUUCAAUUUUGGAGAGUAUUUGGUUCAGUGUGCCAAUGGCAACUUGGCCAAUGUAUUCAGAGCAGCAAGCAAAUGCAUUUCAAUUGGUGAAGGAUUUGUGUAUGGCAGUGGAUAUUAAGAUAAAGGAAAGCAACACAGAUGUUAUAAAAGCGGAGGAGAUAGAGAAAGCAAUAGGGCAUUUGAAGGAUCCUGAAAAUGGAAUAAGGUUGAAAGUGAAAGACAUGAAGGAGAAGAGCAGAUUGGCGCUAAAGGAAGGUGCUUCUUCCUACAACUCUGUUGGGCGUUUAAUCGAGCAGGUUAUGGGCAAUAACUGACUAUGAGCACUUCAUUUUCCCUUUACACUUUGUUUCCAUGAUAUGUUUGAAUAGAUUACAAGGAUACACAUCUAUAAUUUGAAUAAUAAACAUAUAAAAAAAAGUAGGAUAUAAUGUAGAGCUACUAUAAAAAGGUAGGAUAAUAAAACAUGAAAUAUAAUUAUUAAAUAAUAAAUAAAGACAAAAUGAAAAGAAAAUAUUAAGGUGACAACACAAUCACACCAAAUCGGUCUUUACAUAAAAUGGGUCUUUUCGUCGUUAUCUAAUGAUGGAUUUAAACGAUACGAUACAAUAGAAUUUAUAUAACAAUCAAACAAACAUUAUAUUUAAACUAACAAUUAGGAGUGUGCAAAAACAAACCAACCAAUAAAUCGAACCGAAAAAAUGUUAUUGGGUUUUUAAUGGAUUUAUAAAAAAUAAUUAUUGGGUUAUUGGUUCGAUAUCGAUUUUUACUAUUGGGUUAUUUACCUGAUAACCCAAUAAGAUGGUAAUAAGUACUACUUUACCCUUCCAAAAUAUUAGAUAUUGAUAAUUUAAUAUAUAACUAGACACUAUAACUAUAUCAAAUUAUUAGUACUCUACCCACUUCACAUUAGGCCGCUAUACUAGUAAGGGUAUAGCAAUUGUAGCUAUUUGGUUUUAGUUUUAGUCUUGUUGGACUAUUUGAUUUUAGUUUUAGUUUAUAAUUGUAGGUUGUAACUUUUGCAAGUUUGUAAUGGUCUGUUAUAAUUUGAUUAACAUAAGAAAUUUCAUACUAUGUUUUAGUUGUGACAUGUAAUUAUAGCGCCUUCAUACUAUAUUUUAUCUUAUUGAUGCAAUUUGUCAUUAUCUUUCUUGUUUUACUAUAUCAAAGCAUUUAGAGAAGUGAGAAGUCAUAUAAUAUUUUACGGACAUUUUCUUAUUGGGUAAAUCGAAUAUCGAACCGAUAACGACCAAAAACCGAUAAAUCGAAACCCAAUAUAAAUAUCUUAUUGGUUUGUUAUUGGGUUAGCAUAUUUAAAAAUCGAAAAUUGAUAAACCGAACAGAUAAUACAUAAAAUCGAAUCGAACCGACCGAUGCACACCCGUACUAACAAUACAAUACAACGUAACUGGUAACAACCAUCCAAACAAGGGGUUAGAAUAGCCAUUUUACUUGAUUCUUUCAGUUUAACUUUAGCAUAAUAUCUCAUACUAUAAAUACACUGUAAAAAUUUCACACGAGAAUUACAUUACUAAAAUGUGAAAAUUUAUUGUUAUUCAAUAGUCAUGUCGCAAUUUGAGAGAGACUCUGAAUUAGUGAUGCUUACUUAGUUUGUCCAUCACCUGUUCGAUAAAAUGUCCAACAGAGUUGUAGGAGGAUCCACCUUCUUUGAGCACCAAUCUGCUCUUCUCCUUCAUAUCCUUUACUUUCAACCUUAUUUCAUUUUCAGGCUCCAUUAGCUGCUUUAUUGCUUUCUCUAUCUCCUCUGCUUUUACUAUAACGUUCGAUUCGGUCCCUCUCAGAUCCUUCCUAUAAUCCAUCUUAAUCUCUACUGCUAUCCCUAAAUCCUUUACCAAUUGAAAUGCAUUCGCUUGCUGCUCUGCAUAUAUUGGCCAAGUUGCCAGUGGUACUCCAAACCAAAUACUCUCUAAAGUCGAAUUUCAUCCACAGUGUGAAACAAAGCCUCCUACAGCAUCAUGACUCAAGAUAGCCACCUGGGUUGCCCAUCCUAUCACUUUUCCAGUCAAUUCCGUUCUUUGCAAGAACCCCUCAGGCAAAACAUCUUCUGGAUUUUCAUAAGCAGCUGGAAAAAAUGUUUCUUUAGCCAAAGGCUUCUUUAGGGACCACAAGAACCGACAUCCGCUCUUCUCCAAAGCAUAUGCAAUUUCCUUUAUUUGAAACUUCCCAAGCUUCCGAAGCAGAGGUACACUACUGAUGAAUCAGGUUGAUCAUCUAACCAGUUGAUUAUAAUUUGAUGUUGACACAAAUCUUGAUUGUUACUGUGGUCAUUGUCAAGGUUUAACAAGGGUCCGACUGGGUAUACAAGUGGGAUUUUCUCAUCAAGGGAAAGGGCUUUGGCAGCAUGAGAUUCAAAUUCCAAGAAACUGUUUACGAAAAUAGCUUUAGCUUCUCGAAGCCUUCUAGAAAGAUCACAAGGUACAUUGUGGAACCACCAUCCUUGUUAAAAGCUAUAGAUGGCAAACAUUUAGCUGGAAAUGGAUUGACAUAUGUUGUGAUAGAAAGCUCUGCUUCAGAGUCAUCCAUGUAAUCUGUCA
Molecule: long non-coding RNA, 5046 nt
Filed under: Solanum tuberosum (potato)
Lineage: Eukaryota; Viridiplantae; Streptophyta; Magnoliopsida; Solanales; Solanaceae
Description: long non-coding RNA (STUB_LNC007513)
Source: RNAcentral